AAUCGAAGAUCAAAGUUAGAUCAAAUCUUACCAGACCAUAACAGCUGAAGGAAAGGCUAGUCUAAUAAAAGUUGGAAUAUUUUGAAGGGAUUCCUUUGAAAAUCCAGUCCAGGUUUUUGCACAAGAUGAAGAAAACCCGACAUAAAGUGCCAAGAGUACAACAUUUAUCCAAUAAGAUAUAGAAUUGGCCAAAGCGGCUCCCCUACUACCUAGGCCGGACUUGAACACCAAAAUCCAACAGAGGAAAAUAUGCAGCAGAGUUGUGAUCCCUGAGCUCACCAUCAUCGGAAAUACUAUGUUCUGUGUUUGUAAAAAUCUAACAUGACACUGAAGAAGGGCAUAUGCAAAUAGGCUGGGGAUCAUGUACUGAGCAUAGCGGCCAGCUUCUUCUGAUAUAGCCGGAUCUUGACCCAUGGCUUGAAGAAUGAUGCCGGUAUUAGCCCAAACGAUGGCCAAGGGAACGCUAACAAGUGAAAGAACAAACAUAGCUCUCUGCAUAUGUAUGCCAAGCAUAUGGUACUGCUUUGCUCCAUAGGACUGGCCACAAAACGUCUCCAAGGCACACGACAUUCCCAUCUACUCAAACAAAUAGAAUUCGAUCAUUUAACAACACAACAACUUUAUUAAUGGUCAUACAUAAACAAGAAGUUUACUAUAGAGAAACAUAAUAAACUAGUAAGUUAGGAAAAUUGCAAUGUACUCCCUCUGUCCCACACUACAGGUCUCUUAAAAAUUAAGCAUAUUAAGAAAAUAUUAAUUAGAUAAUAUUUUCUCGCUUGUACCCCUAAUAAAUGCAUGGAUGUAGACUCUUAUCAACCCUUAUUAAUUGUUACACAAUUUUCAGGAAGGGUAAUUUUCAAUAUGGAUAACCGUUUUACAAAAGAAAACAUAGAGCUACUACUUUGUAUUGGCUUUUUGGAUCCUAGGAAUUAAUUUUCAAGUUUCAAUAACUCAAAAUUGGUCUUCCUUGCACAAUUUUAUCCAAAGAAUUUCUUUUUACUAGACCCGGAGUUGUUGUCAAAUCAGUUAGACAAUUUUAUCCAUGAUGUGAGAGCGGAUAAAGAUUAAUCUGGACUUCAAAGCAUAAGAAGUCUUUCUGUCAUGAUGGUUAAGACACGUUGACACACUGCUUAUCCCUUAGUUUAUCUUCUGGUUGAGUUAACUCUGAUUUUACUCGUUGUCAUUGCUACUGUUGAGAGAGUUUUUUCUACUAUGAAAACAAUCACAAUUUAUGAGCGUAAUAGGAUGGGAGAUGCAUGAGUGAAUGAUAGUAUGGUGAUAUAUAUUGAAAAAGCUAUUUAUACAAGUAUGGAUGACGAAAUAUUUCAGCCCCCUAACUCUCAGUCCUGGUCCCGCCACUGAAGUAGACAAGUAUUAUGGGAAAAAAAUUCUUUGAAAAGAGACUAUUAUUAUGGGACAAAGGGAGUACAAGAUACUAAUGUUACUCGAACUCGAGUCGCCCGCUAACUUGAGAUCUGGUAGCAUUUUAAGUGCCUGUGUGUUUAUAAGAAGCAGGGUCUUAAAAGUAGCUUCUCAUUUCUCUCACCCGUUUGUGUAAAAAAGCUAGAAAUAUUUAUAAAAAAUUGAAAAUGUUAGCUUUUCUUUCACGGCUUCUACUUCUUUUCCAAACAGUUUAAUAACUUAUAAGUCUUAACUUGCUUGUUACUUCUACUCCACUUCUUUGGUUUAAACAAGAAGUCACUAUUUUAAGCUAACCCAAACGGCUCCUAAGUUAUAUAUAUGUUCCCCUAAAACCUCAAAGUAUGAGUAUAAGAACUUAACUGGAUCAUAUUCUAACAUUCCGUAUCUAGUGAAAUAAAUAAGUAAUACCGAUGAGCAUAAUGAGAAAGGCAACUGACCAAUAAGCUGAAACCAGUAACAGAUGUGAAGGAGUUGGCCACAGAAGCACCGGAAAGAGCCAACUCUCCGAGAUGUCCAACAAACAUAACAGAAAUCAACUGCAAACAUGACUGCAGAAGACUAAAGCAAAUGAGUGGUCCAGCUAGCCACAGUUGCUUCUUCACUUCCACUACAAUAUCCUGUUUUGUAAUAACACCUUUCAAAUGUUCAUCAGCAGCAUCAUUGCCAUUUAUGAGAGGUUUGAUCAAAGAAGAUGAACUUAUCUGCUCUCCUUUGUCCAUAACUUACAAAAUAUGAUUUUAUUGCAAAACACCCAAAACAAUUGAUUAGCUGACAGGGGAAGUGUAACAUAUAGAGGCCAUUUAUGUCGGUUCAAAAUCCAGCUUCUGAACUUAUAAAUCAUAAUUACUUUAUUAGUAUUGUUUGCUUAAAAAUUUUAGAAGUCAAUUUAUGAUUUAUAAAUCAGAAAUUUCUGAUUUUUGAUGACUUAUCUUUGUUUCUAAAAUUUGAUUUUACAAAAAUCUUACAAAUAAUUUAUAAAAUUAUAUUUAUAAAAAUAUUGAACUAUAUGUCACGUUCUUGUCCCUCAAUAUAUACAACUCACAGAGAGCGAGGGAGUAAUAUAUGAUUACAAAAUUACUACAUGGGGGCCGGGGUGAUGGGGAGCAGGGAUUUUGGAUGAUUCAGCUGCCACCGGGCAGUUUUUAUAGGGUCCUCCCUCUGUCUUAUUUUAACUGCUUUUCACUUUUUUUUACAUUUUUUAACAUAAUUAUUCUAUAUAAAAUUUAUAUCAAAUAAAAAUUUAGAAUCUAAACUUUUAUUUGGUAUAAGAAUCGAAUUAUUUUAUUGAAUAUAGAUAUUAUUUUUUGACACAUUAAUAUACGUAUUAAAAAAAUCAAACAUCGCUUAAAAUGGGACUGAGGGUCUUAUGCUCCUCCAUUUAAGAAAGUACAGUGAACUCGAUUAGGUCCAAAUAUAAGUACAGUAUAUGUGAAAGGUGUGGCUAUAAAAUGAGGCGGAGAGAGCUGCUAUAAUGAUAGCUUGAUAACGAAGGCUUACCUUACCUGCUGCUAGGAGUGCAUUGGUCUCAGACUCUCAGUAGAGGGCUGAUAUGUGAUCCAGUAUCUUGCUAGCAUCUCUUCCAAGAUCUUAAAUUCCAUUUUGUCAACUGUCAUGCAGUUGGGAGUGUCUCACUGUCUGUCUCAUAAUAGUAAUGGUUUAAGAUUUCUAUUUCUAAGCUCUGUUUUAAAAGUCGGUCACGAUUAAUCACCGAUUAAUCCCUGUUCCAUAGCUCGUCGAACUGAUUAAAUCUCCGAUUAAUCACCGAUCAAUCAAAUUAAUCCCCGAUCAAUUCAAUUAAUCCCCGAUUAAUCCUUGUUUCGUAACUUCACCGAUUAAGUCCGAUUCCCGCUUUUUACAACACUAUAAUUCUAAGUGGUCACCAAAUUUAUAUAAUAUAUAGAUAUUAUUGCAUUUUAUAACCCCAAAUUUUGGCUUAUUAAUAAAUCAGACCCCAUACUAAUGUAACCCAAUCAAAUAGUGUUUUGCAAAACACUAUGCUCACGUUACUUCCUUCGCAUAGUAAUCUUAUUAUGUUUCUCAAAAAUGAUUAUUAUGUUUCUCAAAUCAGACCCCACAAUAAUGUAACCCAAUUAAAUAGUGUUUUGCAAAACACUAUGCGCACAAUGCAAACUCACUAUUAAGUCAAAAAUGACUUAAAAACCCGGAUUUCAAGGUCAAGAUAAUAUGAUCCAAUAUUUAUGUACACACCAAUUUGUUAGAAAUCACAUCCUCUGACAACACCUAAAUGACCUAGGAUACAAUAGAAUGAGCCUGUUUGGGAACUAGAAGCAACUUCCGCUUCUGACUUUUGCUUUUCUUGACCUCUUUGUGUAAAAAAGUAGAAGCAUUUUUAAGAAACUGAGAAUGCUAUCUUCUCUUUUACAGCUUCCGCUUUUUUCCAAACACUUUAUUAACUUAGAGCAUCUCCAAUAGUCUCUUAAAUCACUCCAAAAUAUAAUAUAAAAUAUUUACUCUUAGUGAUAUAAUGUAGGUUCACCUCCAACAACACCUCUUAUAUUCAAUCCUUAUUUUAUUUUAUAUUAUUAAAAGCAAGUCAUGUGCAUAAAAGCACAAAAAAAGUGGAUGGAGAGAGAAUGAGUGCUUACAAAUUUAUUAUAAAAUAUUAGUUAAGAGUGAUUAGUAGCUCCUACAAUCGAAGAGAUAAAAGAGAAAUUUAGGGAAUUUAAGAGUGACUAGGAGUCUAUUGGAGCAAGCAAAAUUACAAUGCUCUUCAAAUUUCAAUUUAAGAGCCACUAUAAAGAAGCUAUUGGAGAUGCUCUUAUUUACUUCUCACUUUUACUUCCAUACUUUACUUUAAAAAAGAAAUCUUUUUUUUAAAACUUGACCAAACGACCCCAAUACAACCCUCAGGAAAACUAGCUGAUGUCUUUUUUCAUAAUGGUGUUAAGAGUUAAAAAAUGGAUUUGAUUUAAUUGAUUCAGAUUUUAUAUCUAUAAGAUACAAAUCUUAUAAAUAUAAUAUGGGUCUUUCUAGUGUGUGCCCAAGGGCACACAUUAAGCACUAAAUUUGAUGAGUUUAGUGGAUUUUGAUUGGUGGAGUUGGUGUAAAUGCAGGGGGGCCAUCCAUAUUCAUGAUUACAUGACCAAUAAGAAUGCACCAAACUCAUAAAAAUUAGUGCUUAGUGUGUGCCCUUGGGCACACCAUAGAAAAACCGAUAUAAUAUUAACGGGUAGUCCUCAUUCCUCAAAUCACACAUGCCCAAAAGUAUGCACCAGGGACAGACAGUUUCGGAGCCACAAAUUUAAUGCCUUCAUGUUUUCGUGGGAGGGGUCUUCAGUACUCCCUCCGUUUCAAAUUACAUGUCCACUUUGAAAAAAUCACACAAUUUAAGAAAAGUGGAUGUUCACAAAUUAAUUGCAUUAAAUGAUCAAAAUAUGUGGAAUGAGAUUGAUGUAGGAAAUAUAAAUAAGAGAUGUGUGGAGUAUAAUUGAUUUUGGAAAUAUAAUUUUGCAUUGAAAGUUGAAGUGGACAAGUAAUUUGAAACAAAAAAAUUUCUUAAAAGUGGACAUGUAAAUUGAAACGGAGGGAGUAGUAUUAUUUCUCAUCUCCCAUUUCUCUGCUCAAUGUUUAUCCCUUCUGAAGUCGCGCCCUCUUAAAGAGUAUGGGGCUAGCCAUUAUGAAGAGGCUGGACAUCCUUACUCACUUAUCAAGGCCUUUUUACGAAAUCAAGACCCAUUUCUGAAAUAUCCGGCCCAACAUGGCCCAUAUAUUUUUGCUCAUAACAAUUAUUAACCCAUAAUAAUCAAAAAAUCGUCCAGAUUGUAUGAAACAGCCCGCACCCCAGUGCAAAACGAAGUUUUUAAUUUUCGAGAUGCGGCUGCGGUUGCGGUUUGAAUUUUUCACAAACCGCGAGGUGUGAUGCGAGUUGCAGAUAUUACACUUUUAAUUUUCUUCAAGACGGUUCAAACCGAACCGAACCGCACCGCACCACAAUAUUUAAUAAAUAUUACAAAAAUAAUAAUAUAUUAUAAUUAUUUAUUACUCUCGUCCCAUUAAAAUUUAACUACGAGCAGGCAACACUCAACAGUCAGUAGCUCAUGAGCCCCAAGUGCAAUUAGGUUAAAACUUGAAAUCAUACUCUGCUCUCUGUUAUUCUAGCCCAUAGCCGCACAAAUGAAAAAACCAUGUAAUAUCCUAUCUGCAAUAUCCACUUCGGAUUCAACAAUUUAAAACUUCAUGUACAUCAAGCCUGUUGAGCUUAUUAAGGUAGAUUAUUUUCUCAAAUAAUUAGAUUCUUCUCAUUGUUAGAUUUUGAUACAAAAGCAAUACAAAAUUUCAAUCAGACAGCUUCUGCUUUACGAGAUAAAUUCAACAGGGAUCGCAGAAUCAUGAACUCUAUGUUCCGCCUUCUUUGCCUGCACAAGAAAAAUAUAUGCAGUUAAACAAGUAAUUGUAAGUUGUAACAAGUUGUAACUGCAAAGUGGAAACUCAAAUAAUAAGAUAAGUGAAGGGAAAUAUGCUAUACUUCUUCAUUCCAGUUGAUACGAGCCGUGACAACAAGAAGGAAGAACACUUGAACUACUAAUGCGCAGAGGAUCCCCCACCAGAGCCCCUUCAUCGAACAAAUGUACAGGAUUGUUGGAAUGAUUAUAGUGGUAAAAAAAAUAGAUGAUGAAAAUAAAAUGUGCUCAGAAUAAUUUUUUACCUGUCCCCCAACAUGUAGAACAAAUGCGAACAGAACACCACAAGGAAGACCCACAAGAUAAUAUGCUCCCAGAUUUAUAUAUGCACCAAUUUUCUGGAAACCACAUCCUCUAACAACCCCUUAAUGACACGAAAAAGCAAUAAAUUAUUAUCAUCACAAUGACGAGAUAAAUCUCUCUUCGGUUGUACAGUUUAUGUCAUGCAGGGUUUGUAAAGGUCCUUAAGACCUUAACCUUGAUCUUCUUUCAACCAAAGAAAGGAGUAUGUAAUAGGUUACAGUUCUACUGAUACAAUGACAUUAAUGGGGUGUAUUUAUCUCUUUACUUAACUGAUAAGAAUAUAUGUGAUUAAAAAACUAUAUGAAUUUCAGAGAGAACCUGAAAGCACACACUGAAUGCCAUCAAAGAAGUUUGAAGUUGCAAGAAUGGGAAUCAUGAUCGCUACGUAUCUGACAACUUCUACUUCAUUGCUGUAAGCAUAUCCCCAAAUAUUACGAAUCAACAAUAAAAGUACUCCAACCAUAAUACCCUCUGCAAUAGCCAUCACAAAGACCACGUAAACCGCCAAUCGUGCAGUUUGCGGAUGACCUGCGCCCAAUUCAUUCGAGACCCUUGUGCUAUAUCAUAAAGGAUGAGAGGAAGUUAGAUCAAAUAGGUACAAUCUUCUUAUGAGUUUGAAAAACUUAAAGCAGAGUUUCUGAUGGAAUCUCGAGCAUUCGAGCCUAGUCAAUAUCCCUCUUCUUAACCAUUUCUAAGAAAACACCCGCUUGUCUUUCACAAAAUAAGAGAGAAAAUUUUUUAUGUGAAACAUCUCAAGUAAAACAGACAAUUGAUUUCCUUUAGAAAACUGUUUGAAAUUGAUUAGAUAACCAGACUCUCAAUACGAGAAGCUUAUACAGACCUCACAGAGGCACUGAGUCCAAAUGGUAUCAUCCAACAGUUUGCAGCAGUAUUGAGGCUGAAUACAAAAAAUCAGCAACGAAAGAUUAAAGUAAAGAAUAUGUAACAGCCGGGAAAAUAAAGUUUUUUAGUUCUGCAGAAGAGAAACCAAUGGCGAAAUUUAACCUGACUGAGAGUACUGAAGUCUCUAGCUGCGGAUUAGGAAGAAGACCAGAGAGUAGAACCAACAUUUCAAACGACCACAUUUCCAAGCUGUUGCAUGUCAGUUUAAUAAAAACUCAGGAACAACAGUAGAUUCUUAAUACAGAUGAAUUACUAGUAGAUAAGUUGUGCAUAUAAAGAGGGGCAAUCGAAGAUUAAAGUUAGAUCAAAUCUUACCAGACCAUAACAGCUGAAGGAACUGCAAGUCUAAUAAAAGUUGGAAUAUUUUGAAGGGAUUCCUUCGAAAAUCCGGUCCAGGUUUUUGCACAAGAUGAAGAAAACCUCACAUAAAGUGCCAACAGCACAACAUUUAUCCAAUAAGAUAUAGAAUUGGCCAAAGCGGCUCCCCUGCUACCUAGGCCAGACUUGAACACCAAAAUCCAACAGAGGAAAAUAUGUAGCAG
Molecule: long non-coding RNA, 7591 nt
Filed under: Daucus carota (carrot)
Lineage: Eukaryota; Viridiplantae; Streptophyta; Magnoliopsida; Apiales; Apiaceae
Description: long non-coding RNA (DCAR_LNC002862)
Source: RNAcentral